GACGAACGCUGGCGGCGUGCUUAACACAUGCAAGUCGAACGGAAAGGCCCUGCUUUUGUGGGGUGCUCGAGUGGCGAACGGGUGAGUAACACGUGUGUAACCUGCCCUUGACUUUGGGAUAACUUCAGGAAACUGGGGCUAAUACCGGAUAGGAGCUCCUGCUGCAUGGUGGGGGUUGGAAAGUUUCGGCGGUUGGGGAUGGACUCGCGGCUUAUCAGCUUGUUGGUGGGGUAGUGGCUUACCAAGGCUUUGACGGGUAGCCGGCCUGGGAGGGUGACCGGCCACAUUGGGCCUGAGAUACGGCCCAGACUCCUACGGGAGGCAGCAGUGGGGAAUAUUGCACAAUGGGCGGAAGCCUGAUGCAGCAACGCCGCGUGCGGGAUGACGGCCUUCGGGUUGUAAACCGCUUUCGCCUGUGACGAAGCGUGAGUGACGGUAAUGGGUAAAGAAGCACCGGCUAACUACGUG
RNAcentral lists this ribosomal RNA (468 nucleotides) under uncultured bacterium. RNAcentral's name for it is "partial 16S ribosomal RNA". It matches the Rfam family "Bacterial small subunit ribosomal RNA", at positions 28 to 507 of the family's 1533-position model. The record is from RNAcentral.